AUUGAUUAUGUUUACAUAAUCAUCUGGUUAGUUAACAUACCUUUUUCUUUUCUUUGAUUCUCUUCUUUUCAUCACUAUUAACCCUAUUCUUUUCAUCGCUAUUUUAGAAAACAUGGUCGGCAUAAAUAUAGAAACUCUUUUGUCGUCUCACUGCCUAAUUGGUCCUUUGCUCAAAAACUCACUUUCAGAAUAUGACAAGGCAAUCAACAAGCUACAAGUAAAGUACAGAACAUAUAUCGUCGAGUACGACUUCGACACUGCCCAAGAGAAGUAUUUACAUCAAGACCCAAAUAAAAUCAAAAGUGCUUGUGUCUUUUAGUCAUAGUUGGAGAAAGAAGAGGAACAGGGGCGGUGACUAAUAAAAGGGGAAGCUAGAGAUUUUGUCUUCUUCUAACACCUAGUUGCUGCACAAGAGAAUGAUACAGGUGAAAAUAAUCAAGGAAGAGGCAGCGCAAAAGACAAAUGAAUGAGGCGGUGGGUACAGUAAGCAACCUCAAAAAGAAACAACUUGGGGAAAAAGCUGUUUUGUCUACGGAUCAGAGGCAACAUAAAUUGAAAGUUCAACUUGGAAGUAAUGGGAUUAAAAAAAGAGCUGAAGACUUCAGGUUGAAGGAAUUUGGAGGCGGCAAGAGAAUGCUUAUAAAUAGGCAUCACAACUCACUUUUGAGGGGACUGACUUCACACAUUACAGAGACACUACAUGCAACAAAGAGAAGAGCUUUGGUUUGGGGAUAGAAAUUGAAGAUUCAAGUCUUGGAGCAAAAAUUUCCCCUUUCUUUUAGGUUAUUUAUUGUUCUUAAUUUCAUGAAUUUUAUCUCUAUUUUAGUGUUGUUUUUGAUUAUGGAUAACUGAAUAUUCCUCUAGGGUCUUAGGUGGAUCUUGCAAGUUUAGAGACCUUGUAAUGUUCUAGUUUAUUAAUUUGAAUUUCAGUUUUUAUUCCAAUCAAGUUUGUUCUAUUGAUUUUAUCAUAUGAUUAGGAAUGAUCAAACCUUUGCAUGCUAACAAUCAGUUAAUUGAUCAGCGAUCGUACUGCAAUUAAUUGGUGGACCUAUAGAACAAUUGAGACUAGAAUUAUUGCAUGAUCAAACCUUAAUUUUAGUCUUCCAAUCAUUCAACCUUUUCGCGCUUCAUGCUUUUCUUGGUUUCAACUCUUUGAAUGACCAAACAAAGUGUUAACGUAGGAGAAAGAAUAUUAAUCACGAAUGACCAAACGGAUUAGUAGUUUUAGUAAAGGGAUUGGUGAUUGAAUAAAAAUAGGAAUUUGAUUAGAACUAGACAUUAGGGAAUCGAAACUUGCAAGUGAAACCGCGACCCUAGACCUCUCUUUAUUGAUUA
Molecule: long non-coding RNA, 1335 nt
Organism: Medicago truncatula (barrel medic)
Lineage: Eukaryota; Viridiplantae; Streptophyta; Magnoliopsida; Fabales; Fabaceae
Exons: 3
Source: RefSeq, a predicted model, not a curated record